UAAUACGUAGGGUGCAAGCGUUAAUCGGAAUUACUGGGCGUAAAGCGUGCGCAGGCGGUUCGGAAAGAAAGAUGUGAAAUCCCAGAGCUUAACUUUGGAACUGCAUUUUUAACUGCCGAGCUAGAGUAUGUCAGAGGGGGGUAGAAUUCCACGUGUAGCAGUGAAAUGCGUAGAGAUGUGGAGGAAUACCGAUGGCGAAGGCAGCCCCCUGGGAUAAUACUGACGCUCAUGCACGAAAGCGUGGGGAGCAAACAGGAUUAGAUACCCUGGUAGUCCACGCCCUAAACGAUGUCAACUAGCUGUUGGGGCCUUCGGGCCUUAGUAGCGCAGCUAACGCGUGAAGUUGACCGCCUGGGGAGUACGGUCGCAAGAUUA
Molecule: ribosomal RNA, 375 nt
Filed under: uncultured bacterium
Lineage: Bacteria
Description: bacterial SSU rRNA
Rfam family: Bacterial small subunit ribosomal RNA
Source: RNAcentral